This 118-nucleotide ribosomal RNA is filed under the name Peromyscus maniculatus bairdii (prairie deer mouse). Lineage: Eukaryota; Metazoa; Chordata; Mammalia; Rodentia; Cricetidae. The record is from RNAcentral.
GUCUCCGGCUAUACCAUCCUGAAUGUCCCUGAUCCACUCAGAACUUGAAAGUGAAGCAGAGUCUAGCCUGGUUAUUACUUGGAUGGGAGAUGAUUAAGUAAUUUGCAUGGGCCAGUCC